AUUGAACGCUGGCGGCAGGCCUAACACAUGCAAGUCGAGCGGAGCGGCGGACGGGUGAGUAAUGCCUGGGAAUCUGCCUGGUAGUGGGGGAUAACGUCCGGGAACGGGCGCUAAUGCCGCAUACUAGCAAAUGCGCCUAGGUCGGAGUAGCUAGUUGGUGGGGUAAAGGCCCACCAAGGCGACGAUCCGUAACUGGUCUGAGAGGAUGAUCAGCCACACUGGAACUGAGACACGGUCCAGACUCCUACGGGAGGCAGCAGUGGGGAAUAUUCGACAAGGGGCGAAAGCCUGAUCCAGCCAUGCCGCGUGUGUGAAGAAGGUCUUCGGAUUGUAAAGCACUUUAAGUUGGGAAGCGUUACCAAAAGAAUAAGCACCGGCUAACUUCGUGCCAGCCGCCGCGGUAAUAC
Molecule: ribosomal RNA, 407 nt
Filed under: uncultured bacterium
Lineage: Bacteria
Description: partial 16S ribosomal RNA
Rfam family: Bacterial small subunit ribosomal RNA
Source: RNAcentral